UACGAGGGGGGCGAGCGUUAUUCGGAAUCACUGGGCGUAAAGCGUGCGUAGGCCGUUCUGUAAGUUGGAAGUGAAAGCCCAGGGCUUAACCCUGGAAUUGCUUUCAAAACUACAGGACUAGAAUUCGGGAGAGGAUAGCGGAAUUGUCAGUGUAGCAGUGAAAUGCGUAGAUAUUGACAGGAACACCAGUGGCGUAAGCGGCUAUCUGGACCGACAUUGACGCUGAGGCACGAAAGCGUGGGGAUCAAACAGG
This 253-nucleotide ribosomal RNA is filed under the name uncultured bacterium. RNAcentral's name for it is "partial 16S ribosomal RNA". It matches the Rfam family "Bacterial small subunit ribosomal RNA", at positions 524 to 776 of the family's 1533-position model. The record is from RNAcentral.